Molecule: small RNA, 18 nt
Filed under: Arabidopsis thaliana (thale cress)
Lineage: Eukaryota; Viridiplantae; Streptophyta; Magnoliopsida; Brassicales; Brassicaceae
Description: ATSL219690
Source: RNAcentral
UUGGCAGGUCGGACCAAU